Molecule: small nuclear RNA, 115 nt
Filed under: Sinocyclocheilus rhinocerous
Lineage: Eukaryota; Metazoa; Chordata; Actinopteri; Cypriniformes; Cyprinidae
Description: U5 spliceosomal RNA (ENSSRHG00000016739.1)
Rfam family: U5 spliceosomal RNA
About the family: U5 RNA is a component of both types of known spliceosome. The precise function of this molecule is unknown, though it is known that the 5' loop is required for splice site selection and p220 binding, and that both the 3' stem-loop and the Sm site are important for Sm protein binding and cap methylation.
Source: RNAcentral
UGUCGUUCGGUAGCAGGAAAAAAAAAAAGUCUUUCGCCUUUUACUAAAGAUUUCUGUGGAGGGGAACUUUUUGCGAGUGAUCUGUAUUUUUGGAGGCUCUGAUCACAGCAGAGCU